Molecule: ribosomal RNA, 496 nt
Filed under: uncultured bacterium
Lineage: Bacteria
Description: partial 16S ribosomal RNA
Rfam family: Bacterial small subunit ribosomal RNA
Source: RNAcentral
GAUGAACGCUGGCGGCGUGCCUAAUACAUGCAAGUCGAGCGAACAGACGAGGAGCUUGCUCCUCUGACGUUAGCGGCGGACGGGUGAGUAACACGUGGAUAACCUACCUAUAAGACUGGGAUAACUUCGGGAAACCGGAGCUAAUACCGGAUAAUAUAUUGAACCGCAUGGUUCAAUAGUGAAAGACGGUUUUGCUGUCACUUAUAGAUGGAUCCGCGCCGCAUUAGCUAGUUGGUAAGGUAACGGCUUACCAAGGCAACGAUGCGUAGCCGACCUGAGAGGGUGAUCGGCCACACUGGAACUGAGACACGGUCCAGACUCCUACGGGAGGCAGCAGAGGGAAUCUUCCGCAAUGGGCGAAAGCCUGACGGAGCAACGCCGCGUGAGUGAUGAAGGUCUUCGGAUCGUAAAACUCUGUUAUUAGGGAAGAACAAAUGUGUAAGUAACUAUGCACGUCUUGACGGUACCUAAUCAGAAAGCCACGGCUAACUACGUG